Molecule: ribosomal RNA, 2929 nt
Filed under: Cronobacter dublinensis subsp. dublinensis LMG 23823
Lineage: Bacteria; Pseudomonadati; Pseudomonadota; Gammaproteobacteria; Enterobacterales; Enterobacteriaceae
Description: bacterial LSU rRNA
Rfam family: Bacterial large subunit ribosomal RNA
Source: RNAcentral
GGGUUGUGAGGUUAAGCGAACAAGCGUACACGGUGGAUGCCCUGGCAGUCAGAGGCGAUGAAGGACGUGCUAAUCUGCGAAAAGCGCCGGUAAGGUGAUAUGAACCGUUAUAGCCGGCGAUGUCCGAAUGGGGAAACCCAGUGUGAUUCGUCACACUAUCUCAGCAUGAAUACAUAGUGCUGUGAGGCGAACCGGGGGAACUGAAACAUCUAAGUACCCCGAGGAAAAGAAAUCAACCGAGAUUCCCCCAGUAGCGGCGAGCGAACGGGGAACAGCCCAGAGCCUGAAUCAGCUUGUGUGUCAGUGGAACGGUCUGGAAAGGCCGGCGAUACAGGGUGACAGCCCCGUACACGAAGGCACACAGGCUGUGAGCUCGAUGAGUAGGGCGGGACACGUGAUAUCCUGUCUGAAGAUGGGGGGACCAUCCUCCAAGGCUAAAUACUCCUGACUGACCGAUAGUGAACCAGUACCGUGAGGGAAAGGCGAAAAGAACCCCGGCGAGGGGAGUGAAACAGAACCUGAAACCGUGUACGUACAAGCAGUGGGAGCCUUCGUAAGAGGGUGACUGCGUACCUUUUGUAUAAUGGGUCAGCGACUUAUAUUCUGUAGCAAGGUUAACCGCAUAGGGGAGCCGAAGGGAAACCGAGUCUUAAUUGGGCGUUAAGUUGCAGGGUAUAGACCCGAAACCCGGUGAUCUAGCCAUGGGCAGGUUGAAGGUUGGGUAACACUAACUGGAGGACCGAACCGACUAAUGUUGAAAAAUUAGCGGAUGACCUGUGGCUGGGGGUGAAAGGCCAAUCAAACCGGGAGAUAGCUGGUUCUCCCCGAAAGCUAUUUAGGUAGCGCCUCGUGAACUCAUCUUCGGGGGUAGAGCACUGUUUCGGCUAGGGGGCCAUCCCGGCUUACCAACCCGAUGCAAACUACGAAUACCGAAGAAUGUUAUCACGGGAGACACACGGCGGGUGCUAACGUCCGUCGUGAAGAGGGAAACAACCCAGACCGCCAGCUAAGGUCCCAAAGUCAUGGUUAAGUGGGAAACGAUGUGGGAAGGCACAGACAGCCAGGAUGUUGGCUUAGAAGCAGCCAUCAUUUAAAGAAAGCGUAAUAGCUCACUGGUCGAGUCGGCCUGCGCGGAAGAUGUAACGGGGCUAAACCAUGCACCGAAGCUGCGGCAGCGACACUAUGUGUUGUUGGGUAGGGGAGCGUUCUGUAAGCCUGCGAAGGUGUGCUGUGAGGCAUGCUGGAGGUAUCAGAAGUGCGAAUGCUGACAUAAGUAACGAUAAAGCGGGUGAAAAGCCCGCUCGCCGGAAGACCAAGGGUUCCUGUCCAACGUUAAUCGGGGCAGGGUGAGUCGACCCCUAAGGCGAGGCCGAAAGGCGUAGUCGAUGGGAAACAGGUUAAUAUUCCUGUACUUGGUGUUACUGCGAAGGGGGGACGGAGAAGGCUAUGUUGGCCGGGCGACGGUUGUCCCGGUUUAAGCGUGUAGGUGUGUGUUCCAGGUAAAUCCGGUUCACUUUAACACUGAGGCGUGAUGACGAGGCACUACGGUGCUGAAGUAACAAAUGCCCUGCUUCCAGGAAAAGCCUCUAAGCAUCAGGUAACAUCAAAUCGUACCCCAAACCGACACAGGUGGUCAGGUAGAGAAUACCAAGGCGCUUGAGAGAACUCGGGUGAAGGAACUAGGCAAAAUGGUGCCGUAACUUCGGGAGAAGGCACGCUGACAUGUAGGUGAAGCCCCUGCGGGUGGAGCUGAAGUCAGUCGAAGAUACCAGCUGGCUGCAACUGUUUAUUAAAAACACAGCACUGUGCAAACACGAAAGUGGACGUAUACGGUGUGACGCCUGCCCGGUGCCGGAAGGUUAAUUGAUGGGGUUAUCGCAAGAGAAGCUCCUGAUCGAAGCCCCGGUAAACGGCGGCCGUAACUAUAACGGUCCUAAGGUAGCGAAAUUCCUUGUCGGGUAAGUUCCGACCUGCACGAAUGGCGUAAUGAUGGCCAGGCUGUCUCCACCCGAGACUCAGUGAAAUUGAACUCGCUGUGAAGAUGCAGUGUACCCGCGGCAAGACGGAAAGACCCCGUGAACCUUUACUACAGCUUGACACUGAACAUUGAGCCUUGAUGUGUAGGAUAGGUGGGAGGCUUUGAAGCGUGGACGCCAGUCUGCGUGGAGCCAACCUUGAAAUACCACCCUUUAAUGUUUGAUGUUCUAACCUGGCGCCAUAAUCUGGCGUGGGGACAGUGUCUGGUGGGUAGUUUGACUGGGGCGGUCUCCUCCCAAAGUGUAACGGAGGAGCACGAAGGUCAGCUAAUCCUGGUCGGACAUCAGGAGGUUAGUGCAAUGGCAUAAGCUGGCUUGACUGCGAGAGUGACGGCUCGAGCAGGUGCGAAAGCAGGUCAUAGUGAUCCGGUGGUUCUGUAUGGAAGGGCCAUCGCUCAACGGAUAAAAGGUACUCCGGGGAUAACAGGCUGAUACCGCCCAAGAGUUCAUAUCGACGGCGGUGUUUGGCACCUCGAUGUCGGCUCAUCACAUCCUGGGGCUGAAGUAGGUCCCAAGGGUAUGGCUGUUCGCCAUUUAAAGUGGUACGCGAGCUGGGUUUAGAACGUCGUGAGACAGUUCGGUCCCUAUCUGCCGUGGGCGCUGGAGAAUUGAGGGGGGCUGCUCCCAGUACGAGAGGACCGGAGUGGACGCAUCACUGGUGUUCGGGUUGUCAUGCCAAUGGCACUGCCCGGUAGCUAAAUGCGGAAGAGAUAAGUGCUGAAAGCAUCUAAGCACGAAACUUGCCCCGAGAUGAGUUCUCCCUGAGACUAUAAGUCUCCUGAAGGAACGUUGAAGACGACGACGUUGAUAGGCCGGGUGUGUAAGCGCAGCGAUGCGUUGAGCUAACCGGUACUAAUGAACCGUGAGGCUUAACCUUACAACGCCAAAGAAGU